This 702-nucleotide ribosomal RNA is filed under the name Triticum aestivum (bread wheat). RNAcentral's name for it is "partial small subunit ribosomal RNA". Lineage: Eukaryota; Viridiplantae; Streptophyta; Magnoliopsida; Poales; Poaceae. The record is from RNAcentral.
AUGCAGCUAGUUACGGGUGGGCACACGGCGGUGGUGGUUAAUGGUCAGACUAGUAACUUCUUUGCUAAUGGUAGGGGCCUAAGGCAAGGAGAUCCGACGUCCCCUCUGCUUUUUAACUUCAUUGCGGAUGCCCUGUCCCAUAUCCUUUCUCGGGCGGCUGAUGCCGGCCACAUUUUGCCUGUUAGCUCCCACCUUAUCCCCAAUGGCAUUACUCACCUUCAAUAUGCGGACGAUACCAUUAUUAUGGUGGAAUUGAAUGAGGCCUGCCUCACGAACCUGAAGUUUAUACUCUUAUGUUUCGAAGUGCUUUCGGGGCUUAAAAUUAAUUUCUCUAAGAGUGAAGUGAUUGUAACUGGGGUACAUGAUGUGGAAGCACAGAGAGUGGCACACCUCCUGAACUGCUCUCUAGGAUCUUACCCUCUCAAAUAUUUAGGCUUACCAAUUUCCCCUCUCAAACUUUUGGCAAAAGAUUUCGCUCCGGCAGUGACUAAGGUUGGUAAUAGAGUUAUGUCGUGGAGAGGUCAGUAUAAUUCCCAGGCGGGCAAGGUUGCCCUUACUAAUGUGUGCCUCUCCUCCCUUCCAAUGUUUCUAAUGGGCUUCUAUCUCCUGUCUGGAGGGAUUCAUGCCGGUUUCGAUAAGCAUAGGGGUGCCUUUUAUUGGAAUUCCACUGACAAUAAGCGCAAAUACAGAAUGAUCAAGUGA